GCGUCCCAUUAGCUAGUUGGUAGGGUAACGGCCUACCAAGGCAACGAUGGGUACGGGGUCUUAAAGGAUGGACCCGCACACUGGCACUGAGACACGGGCCAGACUCCUACGGGAGGCAGCAGUGAGGAAUAUUGGUCAAUGGGGGGAACCCUGAACCAGCCAUCCCGCGUGCAGGAAGACAGUUCUAUGGAUUGUAAACUGCUUUUCUUGGGGAAGAAUAAUGACGACGUGUCGUCAGAUGACGGUACCCGAGGAAUAAGCAUCGGCUAACUCCGUGCCAGCAGCCGCGGUAAUACGGAGGAUGCAAGCGUUAUCCGGAUUUAUUAGGUUUAAAGGGUGUGUAGGCGGAUGUAUAAGUCAGUGGUGAAAGUCAGCAGCUUAACUGUAGAAUUGCCAUUGAUACUGUAUGUCUUGAGUGUGGUUGAGGUAUGCGGAAUGUGUAAUGUAGCGGUGAAAUGCAUAGAUAUUACACAGAACACCGAUUGCGAAGGCAGCAUGCUAAGCCACAACUGACGCUGAUGCACGAAAGCGUGGGGAUCAAACAGGAUUAGAUACCCUGGUAGUCCACGCUGUAAACGAUGAUUACUAGCUGUUGGCGAUACAAAGUCAGUGGCCAAGCGAAAGCAAUAA
RNAcentral lists this ribosomal RNA (630 nucleotides) under uncultured bacterium. RNAcentral describes it as "bacterial SSU rRNA". It matches the Rfam family "Bacterial small subunit ribosomal RNA", at positions 233 to 863 of the family's 1533-position model. The record is from RNAcentral.